GACGAACGCUGGCGGCGUGCUUAACACAUGCAAGUCGAACGGAAGGGCCCUGCUUUUGUGGGGUGCUCGAGUGGCGAACGGGUGAGUAACACGUGAGUAACCUGCCCUUGACUUUGGGAUAACUUCAGGAAAUUGGGGCUAAUACCGGAUAGGAGCUCCUGCUGCAUGGUGGGGGUUGGAAAGUUUCGGCGGUUGGGGAUGGACUCGCGGCUUAUCAGCUUGUUGGUGGGGUAGUGGCUUACCAAGGCUUUGACGGGUAGCCGGCCUGAGAGGGUGACCGGCCACAUUGGGACUGAGAUACGGCCCAGACUCCUACGGGAGGCAGCAGUGGGGAAUAUUGCACAAUGGGCGGAAGCCUGAUGCAGCAACGCCGCGUGCGGGAUGACGGCCUUCGGGUUGUAAACCGCUUUCGCCUGUGACGAAGCGUGAGUGACGGUAAUGGGUAAAGAAGCACCGGCUAACUACGUG
RNAcentral lists this ribosomal RNA (468 nucleotides) under uncultured bacterium. Its description in RNAcentral is "partial 16S ribosomal RNA". It matches the Rfam family "Bacterial small subunit ribosomal RNA", at positions 28 to 507 of the family's 1533-position model. The record is from RNAcentral.